AGGAGUGUAGCUUAAUUGGUAGAGCGCUGGUCUCCAAAACCAGAGGUUGUAGGUUCAAUCCCUACCGCUCCUG
This is a transfer RNA of 73 nucleotides. It matches the Rfam family "tRNA". Rfam says of the family: Transfer RNA (tRNA) molecules are approximately 80 nucleotides in length. Their secondary structure includes four short double-helical elements and three loops (D, anti-codon, and T loops). The record is from Rfam.